This 444-nucleotide ribosomal RNA is filed under the name uncultured bacterium. RNAcentral describes it as "bacterial SSU rRNA". It matches the Rfam family "Bacterial small subunit ribosomal RNA", at positions 355 to 796 of the family's 1533-position model. The record is from RNAcentral.
UAAGGAAUAUUGGUCAAUGGGCGCAAGCCUGAACCAGCCAUGCCGCGUGCAGGAAGACGGCCCUACGGGUUGUAAACUGCUUUUGCAGGGGAAUAAACCUCUCUACGUGUAGAGAGUUGAAUGUACCUUGAGAAUAAGGAUCGGCUAACUCCGUGCCAGCAGCCGCGGUAAUACGGAGGAUCCAAGCGUUAUCCGGAUUUAUUGGGUUUAAAGGGUGCGUAGGCGGCUUAUUAAGUCAGGGGUGAAAGACGGUAGCUCAACUAUCGCAGUGCCCUUGAUACUGAUGAGCUUGAAUGUACUUGAAGUAGGCGGAAUGUGACAAGUAGCGGUGAAAUGCAUAGAUAUGUCACAGAACACCGAUUGCGAAGGCAGCUUACUAAAGUAUGAUUGACGCUGAGGCACGAAAGCGUGGGGAUCAAACAGGAUUAGAUACCCGGGUAGUCC